Molecule: long non-coding RNA, 1109 nt
Filed under: Ananas comosus (pineapple)
Lineage: Eukaryota; Viridiplantae; Streptophyta; Magnoliopsida; Poales; Bromeliaceae
Description: long non-coding RNA (ACOM_LNC032170)
Source: RNAcentral
UUAAGUGUUUAGGUGAAUCUCUAUGUAUAUUAUUCAUUAAAAGGAAAUUUUAUAUAUAUAUAUAGAGAGAGAGAGAGUUAGACUGGUAUAUUAUCGGUAACACGAAGGCCUCUAUGCUAUCAAGUUAUUUUCAAUGAUGUGGCUUCCAAAUCGACGAUCGGCUCCGUUAGACUUGAUUUACAGUAUUGAAAGUAUUUGGAAACCAAAUUUCAUAAUUUAUCGAUAUCAUUUACCUAUCAAACGAGUAGUCAAAAAAUAAACGGCUGAAAAUAAAAAUCUCAUAAAAAAUAUUGAUAAAAGACUUGAAUUUAAGAUCAGAGGUACUGAUCUUAAUUACUCUAAAUAGUAAAAAAAAAUUUCUAUAAAAGUUUCUUCAGAUUUUGAUUGUUUUAUACCGUUAAAUUCACAAACUUAUCACAUUGAUCAUUAAAAUUGUCAAUUUUGAGACCUUUUGAUCAUUAGCAAAAUGACGUCGAAAAAUUAUGAAAUUUAGUUUCUAAAUACUUUUAAUAGUAUAGAUAAGUCUAACGGAGCCGAUCGUUGAUUUGGAAGCCGCAUCAUUAAAAACAAUUUGGUAGUAUGGAGGUCUCCGUACUAUUGAUAGUACACCAGCCUAUCUCUCUCUCUCUCUCUCUCUCUCUCUCUCUCUCUCUCUCUCUCUCUCUCUCUCUAUAUAUAUAUAUAUAUAUAUAUAUAUAUAUAUAUAUAUAGUCCGGCUGGGAUACUAUCGAUAGAACCAAGUAUUUGGUGCUAUCAAGUUUUCUGCCAUUAGAUUUAAUCAUUUUGACUAUUUUCAUCCGUUACAUUAUACUAUUUAACCAAUAACUCUCUCAACUCUAAGAGGCUUACAUCAUUCUAACUGUAUAUUUUUUUAUCUAAGGGGCCCAUAUGUGGGUUUUGCUGAAUUGGUUUUGGAGAAUAUUUGUGUUUUGCGUAAUAGAAAUAUGGAUUAUUUAUUGACUACUAUGAUCUUAAAUUAAAAAUGUUCUGUUUAGCUCCCACAUUUUCCCCAAAAUUUUCUUAAAUCACACUCCGCCAAUUAAUCUUUGUUCCUUAAUAAAUAAUAAGAUACAUAUUACAUCCAUAAAAUUAUAUUAUUCCUUUAAAAA